AUACGGAGGGGGCUAGCGUUGUUCGGAAUUACUGGGCGUAAAGCGCGCGUAGGCGGAUUGACAAGUUGGAGGUGAAAUCCCGGGGCUCAACCCCGGAACUGCCUUCAAAACUGUCAGUCUUGAGUUCGGAAGAGGUGAGUGGAAUUCCUAGUGUAGAGGUGAAAUUCGUAGAUAUUAGGAAGAACACCAGUGGCGAAGGCGGCUCACUGGCUCGAUACUGACGCUGAGGUGCGAAAGCGUGGGGAGCAAACAGGAUUAGAAACCCGGGUAGUCC
This 274-nucleotide ribosomal RNA is filed under the name uncultured bacterium. RNAcentral's name for it is "partial 16S ribosomal RNA". It matches the Rfam family "Bacterial small subunit ribosomal RNA", at positions 523 to 796 of the family's 1533-position model. The record is from RNAcentral.